GUGCUUGCUUUGACAGCACUAAUACUAAAACUGGAACAAUACAGAGAAGAUUAGACAUGGCCUCUGUGCACAGAUGACACGCAAAUUUGUGAAGCAUUCCAUAUUUAA
Small nuclear RNA from Marmota marmota marmota (Alpine marmot), 108 nucleotides. Lineage: Eukaryota; Metazoa; Chordata; Mammalia; Rodentia; Sciuridae. The record is from Ensembl.